UUUUAUGUUCCUUGAUCCGAACCAAACAACCGAACCUAAGGAUAUAAUUUAGUGAAUUUUGUGUUCCUUGAUCCGAACCAAACGGCCGAAACUAAGGACAAUAUUCCAUAUGUGAGAAGAAAGAACUCCUUGAUCCGAACCAAGCGGCCGAAACUAAGGACAAUAUUUCAUAUGUGAGAAGCGAGAGUUCCUUGAUCCGAACCAAGCGUCGAAACUAAGGACAAUAUUUCAUAUGUGAGAAGAAAGAACUCCUUGAUCCGAACCAUGUGGCCGAAACUAAGGACAAUAUUUCAUAUGUGAGAACAGAGAGUUCCUUGAUCCGAACCAAGCGGUCGAAACUAAGGACAAUAUUUCAUAUGUGAGAAGAGAGAGCUCCUUGAUCCGAACCAAGCGGCCGAAACUAAGGAGAUGAGACCAUCAUCAUAUCUCACCUUCUCACCUCUGCAUGUAGAACGCUGGCCUCCUUGCUCCUUUCUCUAUGUGCUUCUCUGUAUUGUAUGCGUGUGUUGUCUGAUUUUCAGCGGUGAGAGAAACAAAUGAAG
RNAcentral lists this long non-coding RNA (542 nucleotides) under Hordeum vulgare. RNAcentral's name for it is "long non-coding RNA (HVUL_LNC019091)". The record is from RNAcentral. Lineage: Eukaryota; Viridiplantae; Streptophyta; Magnoliopsida; Poales; Poaceae.